Non-coding RNA from Amborella trichopoda, 287 nucleotides. NCBI's taxonomy places the organism in Eukaryota, Viridiplantae, Streptophyta, Magnoliopsida, Amborellales, Amborellaceae. The record is from Rfam.
UUAUGGGAAAGGGAGCUCCAUUCGGUCCAAUCUUGGGAGCGAAGAGGCGGUUAAAGCUGCCACCCCAUGCAUCCGACUAGCCUUAUAACAUCAUGAUCGUCGUCAUCGUGAUCGUCGUCAAGGUCAUCACCAUGUAGUCGUGGUCAUCAAUGUCGCAUCCUCAACAUGAUCUCCAUUAUGAACAUGAAGAGAUAGAGAUAAGCUAGCCAGAGGCAUGGUAUGGGAGCUAUUUCCUCCGCUUUCUCCAUCCACGGAUUGGACUGAAGGGAGCUCCCCUACAAUUUUCU